AUUGAACGCUGGCGGCAUGCUUUACACAUGCAAGUCGAACGGCAGCGCGGGCUUCGGCCUGGCGGCGAGUGGCGAACGGGUGAGUAAUACAUCGGAACGUGCCCAGUAGUGGGGGAUAGCUCGGCGAAAGCCGGAUUAAUACCGCAUACGACCUGAGGGUGAAAGCGGGGGAUCUUCGGACCUCGCGCUAUUGGAGCGGCCGAUGGCAGAUUAGCUAGUUGGUGGGGUAAAGGCCUACCAAGGCGACGAUCUGUUGCUGGUCUGAGAGGACGACCAGCCACACUGGGACUGAGACACGGCCCAGACUCCUACGGGAGGCAGCAGUGGGGAAUUUUGGACAAUGGGCGAAAGCCUGAUCCAGCAAUGCCGCGUGUGUGAUGAAGGCCUUCGGGUUGUAAAGCACUUUUGGCGGGAACGAAAAGGACUGUGCCAAUACCACGGUUCGAUGACGGUACCCGCAGAAUAAGCACCGGCUAACUACGUG
This 484-nucleotide ribosomal RNA is filed under the name uncultured bacterium. RNAcentral describes it as "partial 16S ribosomal RNA". It matches the Rfam family "Bacterial small subunit ribosomal RNA", at positions 29 to 507 of the family's 1533-position model. The record is from RNAcentral.